UCCGAGUUGACCCCGGCAGUCUCCUGCGAGUCCCCGCCAUUACGCGCUGGCAACACAGGACAAGGGUUGCGCUCGUUGCGGGACUUAACCCAGCAUCUCACGACACGAGCUGACGACAGCCAUGCAGCACCUGUCACCGGUCCAGCCGAACUGAAGGACUCCAUCUCUGGUGUCCGCGACCGGGAUGUCAAAGGCUGGUAAGGUUCUGCGCGUUGCUUCGAAUUGAACCACAUGCUCCACCGCUUGUGCGGGCCCCCGUCAAUUCCUUUGAGUUUUAAUCUUGCGGCCGUACUCCCCAGGCGGGGCGCUUAAUGCGUUAGCUGCGGCACGGAACCCGUGGAAUGGAUCCCACACCUAGCGCCCAACGUUUACGGUGUAGACUAC
This 384-nucleotide unclassified non-coding RNA is filed under the name uncultured bacterium. RNAcentral describes it as "contains 16S-23S intergenic spacer region". The record is from RNAcentral.